Molecule: ribosomal RNA, 301 nt
Filed under: uncultured bacterium
Lineage: Bacteria
Description: partial 16S ribosomal RNA
Rfam family: Bacterial small subunit ribosomal RNA
Source: RNAcentral
CAGUAGCCGCGGGAAUACAGAGGGUGCGAGCGUUAAUCGGAAUUACUGGGCGUAAAGCGAGUGUAGGUGGCUCAUUAAGUCACAUGUGAAAUCCCCGGGCUUAACCUGGGAACUGCAUGUGAUACUGGUGGUGCUAGAAUAUGUGAGAGGGAAGUAGAAUUCCAGGUGUAGCGGUGAAAUGCGUAGAGAUCUGGAGGAAUACCGAUGGCGAAGGCAGCUUCCUGGCAUAAUAUUGACACUGAGAUUCGAAAGCGUGGGUAGCAAACAGGAUUAGAUACCCCGGUAGUCCCUGUCUCUUAUA